This 277-nucleotide ribosomal RNA is filed under the name uncultured bacterium. RNAcentral's name for it is "partial 16S ribosomal RNA". It matches the Rfam family "Bacterial small subunit ribosomal RNA", at positions 28 to 304 of the family's 1533-position model. The record is from RNAcentral.
GACGAACGCUGGCGGCGUGCUUAACACAUGCAAGUCGAGCGAGGCCCUUCCUUCGGGAAGGUGCCCUAGCGGCGAACGGGUGAGUAACACGUGGGCAAUCUGCCCUCAGCUCUGGGAUAACUCCGGGAAACCGGGGCUAAUACUGGAUACAACCACUGGUGACAUCGCCUGGUGGUGGAAAGAUUCAUCGGCUGAGGAUGAGCCCGCGGCCUAUCAGCUUGUUGGUGGGGUAAUGGCCCACCAAGGCAGCGACGGGUAGCCGGCCUGAGAGGGCGAC